Molecule: long non-coding RNA, 455 nt
Organism: Trifolium pratense (red clover)
Lineage: Eukaryota; Viridiplantae; Streptophyta; Magnoliopsida; Fabales; Fabaceae
Exons: 2
Source: RefSeq, a predicted model, not a curated record
AACCCAUUAAUCUAUCUUAGAAACAUUAAUUAACUAUAACUCCAAUUUAUUAAUGGUUUCUUGAACUCCCUAAGAGCUAAAACUCUUUACUUGAAGUUAACCAAACAACAAAUUUAUACUUAUAAAUUGUUCAAACACGUUUUUAUUUAUUAUACUCAAAUUAGAAAAAAAUGGCUCAAAUUUUUGCUCUGUUAAUUAUUCUUUUUCUAUUUGUUGUGGUAAACAACGAAAAACUUCCUUGUAAAAGACAUAAUGAUUGUCCAAGUACUAUGUGUAACUGGCCUAUGGUUGCGAGGUGCAUUAAUUAUUUUUGUCAGUGUGGAAUUAAUAAUUUUUAAGUAUACAUUUAUUAGUAAAAUAUAAUUAUAUAAUUAUAUUGUACUAAUAAAUGCAUACUUUAUUUGUACAUAAUAAUUUCUUGCACAUUUUGAUAUAUGUUUCUCUUACGGUUUCAA